Long non-coding RNA from Nomascus leucogenys (northern white-cheeked gibbon), 797 nucleotides. RefSeq annotates it as long intergenic non-protein coding RNA 452. The record is from RefSeq and is a predicted model, not a curated record. The transcript has 6 exons. NCBI's taxonomy places the organism in Eukaryota, Metazoa, Chordata, Mammalia, Primates, Hylobatidae.
AUGAGUCAAGUUCAAUAUCUCACCACCGUGGAAAAGGAGUUUCCGAGCAAGAACGAGCAGUAUCACUGGGAAGCCGAUGCUUGGGCCAUCCUUGGAGAUCCCUGCUGGGCCAGCCAACUGUUCCCUGCUUCCACGUCCAUGCCAACAUUGCAAGGCUAUGUCACGGACUGGAGCAGCUACAGUGAUGACACACCUGAGGUGAACACAACCCUGGCAGCAUCCUGGCCCCUCAUGGGGCACGUGCACGUGGAAUCUGGAAACUUCACAGCUGAGCCUACAAAGGUACUCAUGGUGCUCAGAAGGGUUUCUGGAUCCAGUGGGAGGAAGUCAUUGCAAGCAGCUUGUGAACAUUCACAGAAGCAGCUCAGGAUCAUCCUGCUGCUUCUGAGAGCAGGUGUCGGGCCCCAGGCUGGAGGCCACGUGCCAGGCUGGCAGGAUUUGCCCAGAUCCCCCUGCCUCAGGCUGCCCUCUGCACCCUCCGAAUUCCCAGCCGCUGCUCUGGGGCCCACACGGAGGGCUUGGGCCCAGCACCUGGAAGCUCCAAAGAGGCAAACGGGGUCAUGUCCAGGUUUUGUCAGAUCACCUCUGAGGCUGCCCUCUUCGCCGUGGCUUCUGAGUGCAGAGCUGGGCAUCUGAGUGGACAGAGUGGUGCUCGGCUUCCUUGCAUCUCCUGGGCCAUGCGCAGUGACCUGUGCCCACUGCAUCACUCCUGUGUGCCCUGCGCAUGCGACCGUGUCUUUCCCGUGUAUUCAGUGCUGCUUCGCGUCUUCCAGUUCCACUUUGUGGUUUGUGAGUGA